GGGUUGUGAGGUUAAGUGACUAAGCGUACACGGUGGAUGCCUAGGCAGUCAGAGGCGAUGAAGGACGUGCUAAUCUGCGAUAAGCGUCGGUAAGCUGAUAUGAAGCGUUAUAACCGACGAUUUCCGAAUGGGGAAACCCAGUGCAAUUCGUUGCACUAUCGUUAAGUGAAUACAUAGCUUAACGAAGCGAACCAGGGGAACUGAAACAUCUAAGUACCCUGAGGAAAAGAAAUCAACCGAGAUUCCCCUAGUAGCGGCGAGCGAACGGGGAGCAGCCCAGAACCUUAAUCAGCGUAUG
This 298-nucleotide ribosomal RNA is filed under the name Hafnia alvei. RNAcentral describes it as "partial 23S ribosomal RNA". It matches the Rfam family "Bacterial large subunit ribosomal RNA", at positions 1 to 290 of the family's 2925-position model. Lineage: Bacteria; Pseudomonadati; Pseudomonadota; Gammaproteobacteria; Enterobacterales; Hafniaceae. The record is from RNAcentral.